Molecule: non-coding RNA, 126 nt
Organism: Triticum urartu
Lineage: Eukaryota; Viridiplantae; Streptophyta; Magnoliopsida; Poales; Poaceae
Source: Rfam
UAAAUACUCCAUUCGUCCUAAAAAACUUGUCCCAAACUUGUCUCUCAAAUGGAUGCAUCUAGCACUAAUUUGGUGCUAGAUAUAUUCAUUUGAGGGACAAGCUUUUUCAAACGGAGGGAGUAUAAG